GUCGUCCCAAUCGUGGCCGAAUCGGAUGAUGACGACGCGUUCUUCCUCGGUGAGGAUGGCCUGAUCGACGGCCCAACCUGAGUGAAGGUGCGGCAACAGGUACGACAUCGUUUCGCUUCUCUAUUUUUUAUUUUUCCUCUUCUCGUGAAUGCUCUAGAAAUCUCCAAUUGGAAUUGAAAAUAGUGGUUACCGAGGCCGGGGCAAAAAGAGUGGCCUCGGAAAUUUAUAGGGUCGUUCAAAUCAAUGAAGCGAAGCGUCUAGAAGACAAGUCGCUGAUAAAAUCCCACCAACAUUGCUUCUAAUUUUGAUGCGGUGAUCUUACGCAAUCUGAUUGCGCCACGUGUGUGUAUUACCUUUGAUGUGAGCGAGGAAUCUGUGGACCAACUGCUCGAUCGUUGGUCUGAAUUUUGUCACUCAUUAAAUUGAAAAAGAAUUUUAGCUGAAAUAAAAUUGAAAGAAGUAAGUAAGGUAAGCUAAUUUACACAAAAUUAUACGUUUUAUAUAAAUUAGUUUCUUAAAAUAAUUAUUUGAUUUUAUUAAAAUUUAAUAUUCUAAUUGAAAUUUAUUUAUUAAAAUUGAUAUAAUUAUAAAUAUUAAGAGUAAUGUUAGGUAUCCUAAUAUUUAAAUCUUAAUUUUGAUCCCAUGUGAGAUGGUGGUUAAAUAAAUUUAAUAAAUGUAAAAUUUAUUAUUCAAUAAAUGAAUGAUGCAUGGUAUUAUGGUUUAAAUUAGAACUCAAAUAUCGGGAUUCUUAACAUUAUUAAAAAAUUGGGAUCUUUUAACAUUAUUGAAAUAUUAAAGGUUCUUUUUCAGGAUCUUAGAUAACAUUAGUUGCUUAAUAAAAAGAACUUCCGUAACAAGCCACAAGCUCAGUCGGACAAUUUUCUAAAAGGUCCUUUGCAGUAUGGGGCUGCAAACAUUGUUUGGAAAGCUCCUUCGCAUUUUACAAGUCCACAUCUUUUUGAAAAUGCAGGAGCAACUACAUUUCGGAUAAGCUAUUCUAAGGUGGCUGUUUGAGUGGUUAAAAUGCCACCGCCUACACGUGCACAUAUCUAGUCGAGACUGUAAUCUCCCUGUGAUUAAAGCAAUGUUCGAGUAGAUUCGUAA
Molecule: long non-coding RNA, 1104 nt
Filed under: Citrus sinensis (sweet orange)
Lineage: Eukaryota; Viridiplantae; Streptophyta; Magnoliopsida; Sapindales; Rutaceae
Description: long non-coding RNA (CSIN_LNC002939)
Source: RNAcentral